AAACAUUUCCGCAUGAGCACGGGCAGCCGGGCAGUGAGUGCGGGCAGCCGGGCAGGGCUUGGCUGGUGGCUUCUAAAGCCAUCAGUAACACCACGGUCAGUCGGGUCAGUUGCUUCUGCAUCUCCUUCAGUCUCAUUCUUGCCAUAUAUGCACAAUGAAAAUGUUUUUUUAACAAUUAUUUUACAAAAGAAUACGUGGCUUAUGAUUAGUUCAUUUACAUACUUUUUUGAAAAUAAAUUUAAACAAACUAUUAAAAUAAUCAUAUUUUAUUGUCCAAAAAAUUAUUUAAAAAAAUAGUUAUUAACAUCAGACACCUAUCCAUAAACUAAUACCUCCUUUUAAUUUACAUAACUCCAAAUUAAUAAAGAAACCGUACUUGAUAUCAAUAUAAAGUGAUGACUAAUUAAAUUUUAAGUUUAUAAUAAAUAAAUUUGUACAUUUCCAAAUUGUCUGUUCUUUUUAUUUUUAUAUAAAUAAAUUAUAUUUUUUUAAUUAAACUUUUAUCUACUUACUUCUUUUAAGUUUAUUCUUGUUUUGUCGUCUAGCAUUUUUUUAUUUUCAUACGUUAAAAAUUAUGAAAAUUUUAUAUUAAUUUAAAAUAAUAUUAUGAUGAAUGUAAAAACAGAAAAAAAAAUUAUUGUUUAGUGUAUAAUGACAAUUAAUGUAAAAUCAAUUUUUAUAACGAUUUUAAUCAAGUUGACACGUUUCAAUUACAUAUAAAUUAUAUAUAUAUAUAUAUAUAUAUAUAUAUAUAUAAAGUGUAAAAUAUGAAUUUGAAAACUUAAAAUUAAGAUUUGAAUAAUUUCUUAAUUUUAGAUAGUCUAAUUAUUUUAAUAAAAUAUUAUAAUUUUAAACGUUUUUCAAAUGUUUUGUUAUAAAUUAUAUUAGUCCUCGUUUUUACGGAAAUUUUGAUUUUCGUCCUUUAAAGCUUAACGCAUUUAAAAACCAACUGUGACUAACGUUAGACUGACACGAUUUUUUCUUCUUACAUUUAGUCAGUGUUUUUCACCUUUUCUCCCCCUCUCUCCCUCGUCUCUUCCUUCCAUCUUCUACCUAACCUUCCCUCAAUCAGAGAAAUACACAAGAAGAAGAAAAAAAAUUACAAAAGAAUGCAAACCAUUCUGAUAUUAAUCCAAACAAUGGAAAGGAAUGUUUUCCUACAUACAUCUAAUUGUUCAUCAAGAUACCACAAAAAACACACAGCAAGCUUCCUCCAAAAUAUAUAAUCUAUUUACCAAACCAUGACAUUAUUACCUUAAUUUUUGGUAAUCAGUAUAGUUUCUGGUGUUUGGUAAUCAGUAUAGUUUCCAGAUGACAUUGCUCUAUUAUUUAAGAGGUAUAGCAAAAUCCAACGUACAACAAAAUAUACUACCACUUCAACUCAAAUUACUUUUUUUCCUUUAAAAAUAAACUCAAACCAAAAAGAUUUGUUUAUUACCUAAAUUCUCCAACUCAAAUUUCGCUUUCCUCACACAACUCGAUCAUCGGUGACAAUGGAGUGAAGGAAGAUAUCGGCUUCGGAGACAACGUCAUGGUCACCGACCCAUCCGAUGUGUACUUUCUCGGGCACCCUCUCUUCUUUUUAGCUAGCUUCAUCACUGGCGACACUUUCAUUGCUGCCGUGUGCGGCGGUUUUACUGAAGGAGCACUCCCUACCGUCGCCGGAAUUUGUGUCGUGGAUCCACUUGCGAGAGUUGGGUUGUCGUUCCUUGGAGCUACAUGGUAAUCCAACGGAGCAUCCGAUCCCACCACCAUUCGUUGUGAGUUGAGGAACAGAAUAGGGAUGCUGGGUGGGAAGGUUGGGUUGAGAGAGGGUGGGGAGGUUGAGUGGAAGAUGGAAGGAAGAGAUGAGGGAGAAAGAGGGAGAAAAGGUGAGAAACACUGACUCAGUAUAAGAAAAAACAAAUCGUGACAGUCUACCAUUAGUCAUAUAGGUGUUAGUUUUGAAGGACUAAAAUCAAAGUUUCCUUAAGGAGAAACACUAAAAUGUACCUUAUUUCGAAGUAGGGACUAAAACCAAAACCGCUUGAUAAUAUAGGGACUAACAUCAUAUUUAACCCUUUUGUAAAUUAUUUAUAAUUAGUUACGUAAUUAUAAUUAAUUCAAUUCAAUUUCAUUUAAUGAAUUAAUGAUUAUACUAUUCAUAUAAUUAUAAGUAGUUGAAAUUUUAUUUUGAAAUCUGUUUACUCUUUAAGGAUGUUCAUAUCUGUCAACGGUUUGAGAUCUGUUUAAGUGAUACAAAUAUCUGGUUAAGAUAAAUGCGUUUUAAUCAUUAAAAAUUAAAUAUUUUAUAAGGAAAAAAGGAAAUGGAAAGGUAUAGGGAAUAAUGAUAGAAAGACUCUACCAUUUUCAUCUUUGAGCGGAAGAAGGAGAGAAAUCCUUCUCCAUAUUUGGUCUCUUCUUCACACGGAGAGGGAAAGGCCCCUCUCAUGGUACCUCUUCCUAGAGGCGCAGCAUAACAAAAGGGUGAUGAGAGUGAUGAAUGUGGGUUGGGAUUAUGGGUACAGACACAAGAAGAUGUUUUAUCUGUUUUUAACUUGGUAUGAACUGUAUGAAAUGAUUUCUCUGUCUUGAUUAUUUUGUGGAGGAGAUUAUGGUUGGGCUUAAUGAUGAAUGAAAUAAAUCUAACAUGAAUUGGUGAAUCAUGGAAGAAAUUAACGGAGAGUGACGAAAUGGAGGUAACAUCACAAGUAAUAAUAAUAUCCACAUAUUAACAACACAUUAAUAUAGAAUACUAAACCUUGAAACACAUUCAAACUAUUUCAUACAUAUUCAUGACAUACCUGUUAAUGCUUUCUUCUAAAUUUUCUCUUCCCUUGUUUCUCCUCUUUCUUCCUGUUCCAGUCUUCUAGUUUUUUCGUUAUUUUUUCUCCUUUCGGAUCUUUUUCUCCUUUUCCUAUAUUCCAGACUCUUUCUUCUGU
RNAcentral lists this long non-coding RNA (2921 nucleotides) under Vigna radiata. RNAcentral's name for it is "long non-coding RNA (VRAD_LNC005522)". Lineage: Eukaryota; Viridiplantae; Streptophyta; Magnoliopsida; Fabales; Fabaceae. The record is from RNAcentral.